This is a small nucleolar RNA of Sciurus carolinensis (gray squirrel), 79 nucleotides long. RefSeq annotates it as small nucleolar RNA U83B. The record is from RefSeq and is a predicted model, not a curated record. The transcript has a single exon. Lineage: Eukaryota; Metazoa; Chordata; Mammalia; Rodentia; Sciuridae.
AAAGUUCAGUGAUGAAGCCUGGAAUGAACACAAGGCACAGUGGCACAUCGUUCCUUGUUGCCUUCCUUCUGGGAGAAUA